Molecule: ribosomal RNA, 256 nt
Filed under: uncultured prokaryote
Description: partial 16S ribosomal RNA
Rfam family: Bacterial small subunit ribosomal RNA
Source: RNAcentral
AAUACGUAGGGGGCUAGCGUUGUCCGGAUUUAUUGGGCGUAAAGAGCGUGUAGGCGGCUAGGUAGGUCCGUUGUGAAAACUCGAGGCUCAACCUCGAGACGUCGAUGGAAACCAUCUAGCUAGAGUCCGGAAGAGGAGAGUGGAAUUCCUGGUGUAGCGGUGAAAUGCGCAGAUAUCAGGAAGAACACCCGUGGCGAAGGCGGCUCUCUGGGACGUGACUGACGCUGAGACGCGAAAGCGUGGGGAGCAAACAGGA